GAUGAACGCUGGCGGCGUGCCUAAUACAUGCAAGUCGAGCGAACAGACGAGGAGCUUGCUCCUCUGACGUUAGCGGCGGACGGGUGAGUAACACGUGGAUAACCUACCUAUAAGACUGGGAUAACUUCGGGAAACCGGAGCUAAUACCGGAUAAUAUAUUGAACCGCAUGGUUCAAUAGUGAAAUACGGUUUUGCUGUCACUUAUAGAUGGAUCCGCGCCGCAUUAGCUAGUUGGUAAGGUAACGGCUUACCAAGGCAACGAUGCGUAGCCGACCUGAGAGGGUGAUCGGCCACACUGGAACUGAGACACGGUCCAGACUCCGACGGGAGGCAGCAGUAGGGAAUCUUCCGCAAUGGGCGAAAGCCUGACGGAGCAACGCCGCGUGAGUGAUGAAGGUCUUCGGAUCGUAAACUCUGUUAUUAGGGAAGAACAAAUGUGUAAGUAACUAUGCACGUCUUGACGGUACCUAAUCAGAAAGCCACGGCUAACUACGUG
This 496-nucleotide ribosomal RNA is filed under the name uncultured bacterium. Its description in RNAcentral is "partial 16S ribosomal RNA". It matches the Rfam family "Bacterial small subunit ribosomal RNA", at positions 28 to 507 of the family's 1533-position model. The record is from RNAcentral.